Molecule: ribosomal RNA, 180 nt
Filed under: uncultured bacterium
Lineage: Bacteria
Description: partial 16S ribosomal RNA
Rfam family: Bacterial small subunit ribosomal RNA
Source: RNAcentral
AUGAAGCCGGAAUUGCUAGUAAUGGCAGGUCAGCAUACUGCCGUGAAUACGUUCCCGGGCCUUGUACACACCGCCCGUCACACCAUGAGAGUUGGGAAUACCCGAAGCCUGUGAGCUAACUUUUAGAGGCAGCAGUCGAAGGUAGAAUCAAUGAUUGGGGUGAAGUCGUAACAAGGUACC